This 303-nucleotide ribosomal RNA is filed under the name uncultured bacterium. Its description in RNAcentral is "partial 16S ribosomal RNA". It matches the Rfam family "Bacterial small subunit ribosomal RNA", at positions 507 to 807 of the family's 1533-position model. The record is from RNAcentral.
AGCAGUCGCCGCGGGAAUACGGAGGGUGCAAGCGUUAAUCGGAAUUACUGGGCGUAAAGCGCACGCAGGCGGUUUGUUAAGUCAGAUGUGAAAUCCCCGAGCUUAACUUGGGAACUGCAUUUGAAACUGGCAAGCUAGAGUCUUGUAGAGGGGGGUAGAAUUCCAGGUGUAGCGGUGAAAUGCGUAGAGAUCUGGAGGAAUACCGGUGGCGAAGGCGGCCCCCUGGACAAAGACUGACGCUCAGGUGCGAAAGCGUGGGGAGCAAACAGGAUUAGAUACCCCGGUAGUCCCUGUCUCUUAUAC